GCAUAUCAUAGCGAGAAAAGAAACUAACAAGGGAUUUCCCCUAGUAACGGCGAGUGAAAGCGGGAUGAGCUCAAAUUUAAAAUCUUGCAGCCUCAGGUUGUACGAGUUGUAGUCUAGAGAAUCGUUUUCCGCGUUGGCCUGUGUACAAGUCCCUUGGAACAGGGCGUCAUAGAGGGUGAGAAUCCCGUCCUUGACACAGACUACCAAUGCUUUGUGAUGCGAUCUCGAAGAGUCGAGUUGUUUGGGAAUGCAGCUCAAAAUGGGUGGUAAAUUCCAUCUAAAGCUAAAUAUUGGCGAGAGACCGAUAGCGAACAAGUACCGUGAGGGAAAGAUGAAAAGCACUUUGGAAAGAGAGUUAAACAGUACGUGAAAUUGUUAAAAGGGAAACGAUUGAAGUCAGUCAUGCUUUCCGAGACUCAGCCGAUUCUGUCGGUGUACUUCUCGGUUUGCAGGCCAGCAUCAGUUUCGAUCUGUGGAAAAGGUUGGAGGGAACGUGGCAUCUUCGGAUGUGUUAUAGCCCUCCUUCGAAUACAUAGAGCGGGACUGAGGAACGCAGCGCGCCCUUUAUUGGGUUGGUCUUCGGAUACAUACGCGCUUAGGAUGCUGGCAUAAUGGCUUUAAACGACCCGUCUUGAAACACGGACCAAGGAGUCUAACAUGUUUGCGAGUGUUUGGGUGGUAAACCCGAACGCGUAAUUAAAGUGAAUGCAGGUGGGAUCCGCAAGGAGCACCAUCGACCGAUCUGGAUCUUUUGUGAUGGAUUUGAGUAAGAGCACAUAUGUUGGGACCCGAAAGAUGGUGAACUAUGCCUGAAUAGGGGCGAAGCCAGAGGAAACUCUGGUGGAGGCUCGUAGCGAUUCUGACGUGCAAAUCGAUCGUCAAAUUUGGGUAUAGGGGCGAAAAGAACUAAAUCGAAACCAUCUAGUAGCUGGGUUCCUGCG
Molecule: ribosomal RNA, 941 nt
Filed under: Mrakia cryoconiti
Lineage: Eukaryota; Fungi; Basidiomycota; Tremellomycetes; Cystofilobasidiales; Mrakiaceae
Description: LSU rRNA
Rfam family: Eukaryotic large subunit ribosomal RNA
Source: RNAcentral